AAGUAAAAGAGGUCCCAUCCUGGAACAGUGAGGAGGAUUUUAAGGCUGCUCUGAAAGAAGCUGGGCUGCUGUAAACAUCUACUGUCAUUCAGCUUGGCCAGUGCGCAAGCUUAUUUAGUCUCUUAGAGUUGCCGAUUUUGAUGGAGUGAUCUUAAAUCUCUUAAAAGAGUUGCAGAUUUUGUCAGUGAUACCUGUUAUUUGUGCCCAAGUCAUCCAUUCUAUAAUGAUGCCCUUUGUGUAUUGAAAAUAGUUUACUUGAUGAAACUUUGUGUCUAUUGAAAAUUAUAAUAAAUGAUAAUG
RNAcentral lists this unclassified non-coding RNA (300 nucleotides) under Hevea brasiliensis (rubber tree). The record is from RNAcentral. Lineage: Eukaryota; Viridiplantae; Streptophyta; Magnoliopsida; Malpighiales; Euphorbiaceae.